GUUGUGCCUAAACGCACAGGUUCUUGGGGCACCAUCUUUACUAAUGGCCAGAGAACCGUUGCCAGGGUUACCUGAGGCCUUGAUUUAGGCAUAUAGAAGGUGCCCAAUACAAUGCACUAUGUAUUUGUUAAAGGAAUGAAUGAAAAGCAAGUUAUUUAGUGGAGGAAGACAUCUUUGAAUGUGGACUUCACCAUGUGUUAGGGUUUUCACAUUCCCAUCUCUUUCGGUAACAUACACCAGAAUCCUGGAACUUGGUGGCCUGAGGUCAGAUCCCAUCCCUACCUCUCACUAGCUCCAUCACAUGGUCAGCUGGAGUUAGUUGAUUGAAGCUGGGAUUAGCUGAAUUUAACUCCAAGCUGCAGGUUGGAUCCACAUCUGCACCACAUGUCAUUCAUCUUUCUUGGACCAUGUUCUUUUCAGGGCAAAAGGCUGGAGGGGAAGCCAGCCCCACAAGCACAUUGUAAGCCUUUGCUUACAACACGUCUUCUAAUAUCCCAUUGGCUAAAGCAAGUCUCAUGCCAAGCUCAAUAUUAGUGGUGUAGAGAAGUGUACUCCUCCUAUGGAUUACUGAACAGCAAUUCAAUGUACCACAAUCAUGAAUGCAGAUUCCUAUCACAGAGCCCUGUGCUCUGCUUCAGAUACCCAAAGACACAUCCCAAACAAGAAAACAAGAGAAAAAUUGAAUUACCAACUAGGUCUCCCUCCCGUCCCCCCAGAGCUUCCCACGCAGGGAACCAGAUACCUCGCAGCAGCCCCAUCUCCAGACCCCAGGAUUCCUGCAACGGUGGGUACCAUCUUAGCAACCACAGUAGCUGCUUGGCCGUGGGAAAUGCUCCCAAUGCUGUAGAGAUCCACCAGCUCGUGUAGCAAUGUGGCUUGGCCAGACAGUCAGGGUCCCAGAGCAUGAAAAGUCAUUCCUGUCAUCCUGGCAGACCCAGCCUCUUGGAAACCCAUCCAGAGUCCCAGUGCCAGUGUGGUAGGCAGAAUAUUGCCCCCCUUCCCUCCCCCCCACCCCCACAAAGGUCCAUAUCCUAAUCCCCAGAACUUGUGAAGAUGUUACCUUAUAUGGCAAAAGGGACUUCACAGAUGUGAUAAGGAUCUUGAGAUGAUUAGUCUGGAUUAUUCAAGUGGGUCCAGUGUAAUUACAGGGGCCCUUAUAAGUGAGAGAGGGCAGCCGGAGACUCAGAGGCCGAGAUAUGAUGACUGAAGUAGUUUGGAGUGAAGAGCAGGAAGGAACUGUGCAGCCUCUAGAAGCUGGAAAAGGCAAGGACACAGAUUCUCCCCCGGUGCCCGCAAAAGGCAGGUGGCCCUGCCCACCCGUUUCACACUUCUGGUCUCUGGACUGUAAGAUAAUAAAUCUGUGUUGUUUCAA
This is a long non-coding RNA of Myotis brandtii (Brandt's bat), 1372 nucleotides long. RefSeq lists it as uncharacterized. The transcript has 5 exons. The record is from RefSeq and is a predicted model, not a curated record. Lineage: Eukaryota; Metazoa; Chordata; Mammalia; Chiroptera; Vespertilionidae.